GCGGCUUCACUCUCCAGGACCCAUUUAUUCAAUGGAGAGUGUAUCUUCACAGCUCCCUUAAAAAUGUCUAUUUUGAAGGAAAAAAAUCCAGCCAAAGAUGCUAUUUGAAAAUGUUUAAUACUGACUCUAAAUCCACAGAAAUGUUUGUGGUUCACAGCCAGGAUACCACAUCUUCUCAUAGGCAUGAAAGCAAAAGGGACCCAGUGACCACCAUAAAGUCAAAUGCCUUCUGGGGGGAGUCUGAUGACAGUAACUCAGAAAUUGAAGCUGCUCUACGUCCUAGAGACCAUGACACGCCUGAUGAUUUUGAUGAUUUUUAUGACACAUAAGCCGUUGCAUGCUUAGAAAUAGUCUUUAAAACAAAGUCACUGUGAUAAUGUGUAAUUCCCAACAUAAACAUAUCCUUCUAAGUUUGCUAGUUGUGAAAGGUGAAACAGACUAUCAUUCAAGGGAGACUGUAUGAUAGGAAUGGGAACAAGGCCUGGGAAGUAGCUGACUAGUACAACACUUGCCCACCAUGAGAGGGUCAGAGUGUUGAUCCCUAGCACCAGGGAGCCCUAUGGGAAGCCAAAUGUGAAGGCAGCAGGAGGAUGGUGAUUUCUGGGCCAUCCUAAGCUAUCUAGCCAGGCCCUGCCAGCCCAGCACUUGGGAGGUAGAGGCAGGAGGAAGAGAAGUUCCAAGCUAGUGUCAGCUACAUAAAACCCUCUGGUAGUUUAAAUGCUCAGUCGCAAGUUGGUUUGGGAAAGAUUGAGAGGAGUGGUCU
Molecule: long non-coding RNA, 763 nt
Filed under: Rattus norvegicus (Norway rat)
Lineage: Eukaryota; Metazoa; Chordata; Mammalia; Rodentia; Muridae
Description: long non-coding RNA NONRATT018685
Source: RNAcentral